RNAcentral lists this ribosomal RNA (497 nucleotides) under uncultured bacterium. RNAcentral's name for it is "partial 16S ribosomal RNA". It matches the Rfam family "Bacterial small subunit ribosomal RNA", at positions 28 to 507 of the family's 1533-position model. The record is from RNAcentral.
GAUGAACGCUGGCGGCGUGCCUAAUACAUGCAAGUCGAGCGAACAGAUGAGGAGCUUGCUCCUCUGACGUUAGCGGCAGACGGGUGAGUAACACGUGGAUAACCCACCUAUAAGACUGGGAUAACUUCGGGAAACCGGAGCUAAUACCGGAUAAUAUAUUGAACCGCAUGGUUCAAUAGUGAAAGACGGUUUUGCUGUCACUUAUAGAUGGAUCCGCGCCGCAUUAGCUAGUUGGUAAGGUAACGGCUUACCAAGGCAACGAUGCGUAGCCGACCUGAGAGGGUGAUCGGCCACACUGGAACUGAGACACGGUCCAGACUCCUACGGGAGGCAGCAGUAGGGAAUCUUCCGCAAUGGGCGAAAGCCUGACGGAGCAACGCCGCGUGAGUGAUGAAGGUCUUCGGAUCGUAAAACUCUGUUAUUAGGGAAGAACAAAUGUGUAAGUAACUAUGCACGUCUUGACGGUACCUAAUCAGAAAGCCACGGCUAACUACGUG